This 491-nucleotide ribosomal RNA is filed under the name uncultured bacterium. Its description in RNAcentral is "partial 16S ribosomal RNA". It matches the Rfam family "Bacterial small subunit ribosomal RNA", at positions 29 to 507 of the family's 1533-position model. The record is from RNAcentral.
GUGAACGCUGGCGGUAGGCCUAACCCAUGCAAGUCGAACGGCAGCACAGUAAGAGCUUGCUCUUACGGGUGGCGAGUGGCGGACGGGUGAGGAAUACAUCGGAAUCUACUUUUUCGUGGGGGAUAACGUAGGGAAACUUACGCUAAUACCGCAUACGACCUACGGGUGAAAGCAGGGGAUCUUCGGACCUUGCGCGAUUGAAUGAGCCGAUGUCGGAUUAGCUGGUUGGCGGGGUAAAGGCCCACCAAGGCGACGAUCCGUAGCUGGUCUGAGAGGAUGAUCAGCCACACUGGAACUGAGACACGGUCCAGACUCCUACGGGAGGCAGCAGUGGGGAAUAUUGGACAAUGGGCGCAAGCCUGAUCCAGCCAUACCGCGUGGGUGAAGAAGGCCUUCGGGUUGUAAAGCCCUUUUGUUGGGAAAGAAAAGCAGCAGGUUAAUACCCCGCUGUUCUGACGGUACCCAAAGAAUAAGCACCGGCUAACUUCGUG